Molecule: ribosomal RNA, 253 nt
Filed under: uncultured bacterium
Lineage: Bacteria
Description: partial 16S ribosomal RNA
Rfam family: Bacterial small subunit ribosomal RNA
Source: RNAcentral
UACAGAGGUGGCAAGCGUUGUUCGGAAUUACUGGGCGUAAAGGGCGCGUAGGCGGUCUUGCAAGUCCUGUGUGAAAUCCCUCGGCUCAACUGAGGAACUGCACAGGAAACUGCUUGGCUUGAGUUCGGGAGAGGGAAGCGGAAUUCCGGGUGUAGCGGUGAAAUGCGUAGAUAUCCGGAGGAACACCGGUGGUGAAGGCGGCUUCCUGGACCGGUACUGACGCUGAGACGCGAAAGCCAGGGGAGCAAACGGG